Molecule: ribosomal RNA, 460 nt
Filed under: uncultured bacterium
Lineage: Bacteria
Description: partial 16S ribosomal RNA
Rfam family: Bacterial small subunit ribosomal RNA
Source: RNAcentral
CCUACGGGAGGCAGCAGUGAGGAAUAUUGGUCAAUGGCCGGAAGGCUGAACCAGCCAUGCCGCGUGAAGGUCAGUGCCCUAUGGGCGUUAAACUUCUUUUGUGCGGGAGCAAUAAUGGUCACGUGUGGCCAGACGAGAGUACCGUACGAAUAAGCAUCGGCUAACUCCGUGCCAGCAGCCGCGGUAAUACGGGGGAUGCAAGCGUUAUCCGGGUUUAUUGGGGUUAAAGGGUGCGUAGGCUGUGAGGUAAGUCAGCGGUGAAAUGCCCACGCUCAACGGGGUGAAGUGCCAUUGAUACUGCCUUGCUGGAGUGCGGAAGACGUGGGAGGAAUGUGUGGUGUAGCGGUGAAAUGCAUAGAUAUCACACAGAACACCGAUUGCGAAGGCAUCUCACGAAUCCGCGAUUGACGCUGAUGCACGAAAGCGUGGGUAUCAAACAGGAUUAGAUACCCCAGUAGUC